RNAcentral lists this long non-coding RNA (772 nucleotides) under Ananas comosus (pineapple). RNAcentral describes it as "long non-coding RNA (ACOM_LNC034470)". Lineage: Eukaryota; Viridiplantae; Streptophyta; Magnoliopsida; Poales; Bromeliaceae. The record is from RNAcentral.
UUUCUAAUGGCCUCUUUAUCUUACUUGAUAGUUUUUUUCUUCUCUUAAGGGUGCGUUUGGUUCGCGCUAUCUUUUAAAGAUUCCUAGCAAUUCAAUGGGAAUAAAAAAAUAUGACGGUGUUUGGUUAAACGCACUAAGUAAUCUAGUUGGUAAUAUUGGAUUCACUUGGGAAUAAGAUUCACUCCAAAGUACUAAUCUCAUUCCCUUGAGGGAGGGUGGGUAUCCUCAUAUUAAUGGAUUGGGAUAAUCAUAAUAUGUCUAAUCCCUUUCUUUCUUCCUAUCCGCCGGCUAAUUGAUAUUAUUUUUCUUUACACUCUAACCUUAUAUCUCUCUCUAAACUUAUUUUUCUCCCUAAAAUUCAACUUUUUUUUCUCUCUCUAAACUAAGCUUUCUCUCUCUCUCUCUUUCUAAAAUUUCAACUCUCUCACUCCCUCUAAUUUCGACUAUAUUUUUCUUUCUAUUUUUUUAAUUAUGCUCUCUCUCUCUAACUUAUACUCUCUCUCCCUUUUUUCUAAAAAGAUGUUGAAACUUUUGGUAACAUUAUCUAAAAUUAAUUAAAUAAAUAAAUAAAUUAAUUGUAUAUUUUUUGUAAUAUUAAAUAACAUGGCUAAUUAAUAUUACUGUGUGAACCAAACACAGGAAUUCCACAUUCUUAGUAAUAGGAUGAAUAGGAAUAAGAUUCUCGGAUAUCUUUUAUUUCUAGUAAUAUUUCAUAAUGCGAACCAAACGCACCCUAAGAGUUAUAUUUAUUCUAUUUUUUUUAAUGGUUCUU